AGGGCGCUAAAUGGAUGCCUAGACGUAUAUUACCGAUGAAGGACGUGGAAGACUGCGAUAAGCUUCGGGAAGCUGUCAACAAGCUUUGAUCCGGAGAUCUCCGAAUGGGGAAACCCAGCAUGAGUCAUGUCAUGUUGCCACUUGCUGAACACAUAGGCAAGCGAGCGGGAACCAUCUGAACUGAAACAUCUUAGUAGGAUGAGGAAGAGAAAGUAAAUAACGAUUGCGAAAGUAGUGGCGAGCGAAAUCGCAACAGCCCAAACCUUUUAAGUUUUUGCCUAUUAAUUUAGGCAAAUAAGUUGAUAGACGAAUACUUAUAAGGGGUUGUGAUAUUACAUAUGACCAAGUCAGAGAAUUUGAUUCAUUCAAAUAAUCUGAUUUGCGAUAACUGGCUAUCAACAGUUAGUAAGGUAAGAAAUCGGCGUGGUUAGUAGAAUAGUUUGAAUGACUAGCCAAAGAACGUGAAAGCCGUGUAUAUGAAAACGACGCUGACCUUAUGUAUGUUUUAUCGAGUAGGACGGGGCACGAGAAACCCUGUUUGAAUCUGGCUGGACCACCAGCCAAGGCUAAAUAUAAUAUACGAUCGAUAGUGAACUAGUACAGUGAUGGAAAGGUGAAAAGAACCCCGGGAGGGGAGUGAAAUAGAUCCUGAAAUUUAGUGCCUACAAGGAGUCGGAGCCGGCUUGUCCGGUGACGGCGUGCUUUUUGUAGAACGAUCCAGCGAGUUAAUUUUUACAGCGAGGUUAAGUCAAUUGACGGAGCCACAGUGAAAGCGAGCCUGAAUAGGGCGAAUAAGUUGUAAGGAUUAGACCCGAAACCGGGUGACCUAACCAUGAGCAGGUUGAAGCCACUGUAACAGGUGGUGGAGGACCGAACCAGGAUACGCAGCAAAGUGUUUGGAUGACUUGUGGUUAGCGGUGAAAUGCCAAUCGAACUCGGAGAUAGCUGGUUCUCCUCGAAAUAGCUUUAGGGCUAGCGUCGUGUUAGUAGCACAUGGGGGUAGAGCUCUGUAAAGGACUGGGGCGGGCAACUGUACCCACCCUUAACAAACUACGAAUACCAUGUGUGUAAUCACGGCAGUUAGAACAUCGGUGCUAAGAUCGGUGCUCAAAAGGGAAACAGCCCAGACCAUCAUCUAAGGUCCCUAAAUUAACGUUCAGUGGGAAACAAGGUGAGAUUUCUUAAACAGCUAGGAUGUUGGCUUAGAAAGCAGCCAUUCAUUUAAAGAGUGCGUAACAGCUCACUAGUCAAGAGAUCUUGCGUGGAAAAUGUAACGGGGCUAAAACGUUAUACCGAAGAUAUGGAUUACACGCUAAGUACAAAGUUAAAGUUGUGUUACAAUCAAUUUAUGGAAAAUGAGAUUUACAUAGGUAGCGUUUAUAAACACUAUAAAGGCAAUAAGUAUGUUGUUGUAAGUAUAGCUGUUCAUACUGAGACGCUUGAAGAGCUUGUAGUUUAUCGAGCCAUUUAUGGCGACGGAGAAUUAUGGGCUAGACCUAAGAAAAUGUUUUUGGAUAAUAUUGAAAAGAACGGAAAGAUCAUCCCAAGGUGAAGUCGAAUCGGAAGGUUCGGUGGAGCGGUAGGAAGUGAGAAUGCUGGAAUGAGUAACCAUAAGAGAGGUGAGAAUCCUCUCGGCCGUAAGAGCAAGGUUUCCUGAGCCAUGGUAAUCAUCUCAGGGUUAGUCGGGCCUAAGCCGAGGCGCAGAGCGUAGGCGAUGGACAUCAGGUUAAUAUUCCUGAACCGGUUAAGUUUUGUACACUGUUCACGGGGAAGUAAUCGAAGCGGAUUCAUGGUUUAUCCGUCCAACCGAGCGGGAACGCAAAGGGAGUGAAAGUGAUUCUUCGGAGUCGCGAUUUUGGUGAAAGCCCUGGCUAGAAAAGCAGGUGUACGCGUGGACUUAGCCGCCCGUACCGCAAACCAACACAGGUGCUCGAGUCGAGUAGACUCAGGCUUACGAGCGAACCUUCGCUAAGGAACUCGGCAAUACAGCGACCGUAACUUCGGGAUAAGGUCUGCCCCCACUUCGGUGGAUAUCAGCCGCGUUCACUCAGUGAAUAUUAGGUUAAAGAGUACAUUUUUAAUCACAAAACGAAUUUUCUGAGAUAGAGCAAACGAAUUGUUCUUUUGAGCGCGAACCUCUGACGUCUAACGAUGUGGGGGCCGCAGCAAAAGAGCCCACGGAACUGUUUAUCAAAAACACAGGUCUCUGCUAACACGAAAGUGGAUGUAUAGGGGCUGACUCCUGCCCAAUGCUGGAAGGUUAAGGGGAGCGCUUCACGGUGCGAACUGAAGCCCUAGUCAAUGGCGGCGGUAACUAUAACCGUCCUAAGGUAGCGAAAUUCCUUGUCAGGUAAGUUCUGACCCGCACGAAUGGAGUAAUCAUGUGGGCACUGUCUCAGCGAAGGACUCGGUGAAAGUGCAUUGGCGGUAAAGAUGCCGUCUGUCCGUACCAGGACGAAAAGACCCCAUGGAGCUUUACUACAGCUUUACAUUGAAUAUGGUUUCAACAUGUGUAGCAUAGGUGGGAGACUUUGAAGCAGAUACGCCAGUAUUUGUGGAGUCACCAAGUGAAAUACCACCCUUGUUGUGAUUGUGUUCUCACGCUGACCGUUAUCCGGUUAGCGGACCGUGUAUGGUGGGUAGUUUAACUGGGGCGGUUGCCUCCUAAAGAGUAGCGGAGGCGUUCAAAGGUUGGCUAACUUCGGAUGGAAAUCGAAGUGAU
This 2722-nucleotide ribosomal RNA is filed under the name human oral metagenome. RNAcentral describes it as "bacterial LSU rRNA". It matches the Rfam family "Bacterial large subunit ribosomal RNA", at positions 14 to 2347 of the family's 2925-position model. The record is from RNAcentral.